RNAcentral lists this transfer RNA (74 nucleotides) under bacterium. Its description in RNAcentral is "tRNA-Arg". It matches the Rfam family "tRNA". Rfam says of the family: Transfer RNA (tRNA) molecules are approximately 80 nucleotides in length. Their secondary structure includes four short double-helical elements and three loops (D, anti-codon, and T loops). The record is from RNAcentral.
GGUCCCAUAGCUCAGCUGGAUAGAGCACCGGUUUUCUAAACCGGCGGUCCUUGGUUCGAAUCCAAGUGGGGCUA